RNAcentral lists this ribosomal RNA (253 nucleotides) under uncultured bacterium. Its description in RNAcentral is "partial 16S ribosomal RNA". It matches the Rfam family "Bacterial small subunit ribosomal RNA", at positions 524 to 776 of the family's 1533-position model. The record is from RNAcentral.
UACGAAGGGGGCUAGCGUUGUUCGGAAUCACUGGGCGUAAAGGGCGCGUAGGCGGCUUUGUAAGUCGGGGGUGAAAGCCUGUGGCUCAACCACAGAAUUGCCUUCGAUACUGCAUGGCUUGAGACCGGAAGAGGUAAGUGGAACUGCGAGUGUAGAGGUGAAAUGCGUAGAGAUCGGCAGGAACACCCAGGGGGAAGGCAGUCGACUGGGCAUCUACUGACGCUGAGGUGCGAGAGCGUGGGGAGCGAACCGG